AAGAUAAACAACAGCAUAGAGUAUGUGCAUGUUCAUGUUGAACAGAUAUUACGAUGUUGUGAAUAAAGACUGCCAGUUAUAUUAAGAUUUAAGCAGAUGACUAGUACAUGUAGAUUUUAUUGUUUGCAUAAUUAAAUAACCCAGUUAUAAUAGUUAUUUUCACAAAUAAACAAAUAUUAAAUUCAAAAUGGCGGCAACAAAAAAUAUGGCGGCCUCCGAUGUCCGUUUUGUUGAUACUAAGAUAAAUUCAAAAUUUUAACACCAACUGGUAUUUAUAUUUUUAAUUUAAGUUUAAAAUUACACAAUGAGGUUUAUUUGCAUUUAAAAUAAAUUAAUUAUUAAUUAUUUAUUUAUUUUUUUCGAUCACGUGACGUUUUUGAGUUCUAUGAUUGGUCAAUAACAGAGCGCGGAUUUUUCCAUGGACGAUUUGAAUGUUUGGAUGUUGAAAGUGUUGAUAGAAAAAAAGGAGAUAAAACCAGUUGCAGAAUAUUGGUACAUGAUGUUUCCAUGAGCUGAAUCUGUCCUGACCUGGAGUACAUGAAAUUCUUCAAAAUAUUACUUGUUUUAGAAUUGAAGAAAAGGUUAAAAUUGAAAGCAUAUUUCAACGAAAACUUAGCCGACUACCAGUCACACUGCCUGCCAGCCAAGACGUCUGACCAGCUAAAAUGAGGGACGCAGACCACCAGCCAAGUCCCUCGGCCAGCUCGGCUGACCCAGUGCGGCCUGUCAAGGGAUGACCAAGUCCAUCAACUAGCUCGGCUGACUACCAGUGCAGCCUGUCAAGUCCUUCAACUAACUUGGCCUAUUACCAGUGCGGCUGUCAUUGAACAACCAAGUCCAUCAACUAGAUUGACUUACUACCAGAGCGGCUUUUCAAGGGAUGGUCAAGUCCGUCAACUAACUUAACCUACUACCAGUGCCGCAUGUCAAGA
Saccostrea cuccullata (small rock oyster) is the source of this 932-nucleotide long non-coding RNA. RefSeq lists it as uncharacterized. Lineage: Eukaryota; Metazoa; Mollusca; Bivalvia; Ostreida; Ostreidae. The transcript has 3 exons. The record is from RefSeq and is a predicted model, not a curated record.